UAGACCGCCUGGGGAGUACGGCCGCAAGGUUAAAACUCAAAUGAAUUGACGGGGGCCCGCACAAGCGGUGGAGCAUGUGGUUUAAUUCGAUGCAACGCGAAGAACCUUACCUGGUCUUGACAUCCACAGAAGAAUCCAGAGAUGGAUUUGUGCCUUCGGGAACUGUGAGACAGGUGCUGCAUGGCUGUCGUCAGCUCGUGUUGUGAAAUGUUGGGUUAAGUCCCGCAACGAGCGCAACCCUUAUCCUUUGUUGCCAGCGGUCCGGCCGGGAACUCAAAGGAGACUGCCAGUGAUAAACUGGAGGAAGGUGGGGAUGACGUCAAGUCAUCAUGGCCCUUACGACCAGGGCUACACACGUGCUACAAUGGCGCAUACAAAGAGAAGCGACCUCGCGAGAGCAAGCGGACCUCAUAAAGUGCGUCGUAGUCCGGAUUGGAGUCUGCAACUCGACUCCAUGAAGUCGGAAUCGCUAGUAAUCGUGGAUCAGAAUGCCACGGUGAAUACGUUCCCGGGCCUUGUACACACCGCCCGUCACACCAUGGGAGUGGGUUGCAAAAGAAGUAGGUAGCUUAACCUUCGGGAGGGCGCUUACCACUUUGUGAUUCAUGACUGGGGUGAAGUCGUAACAAGGUAACCGUAGGGGAACCUGCGGUUGGAUCACCUCCUUACCUUAAAGAAGC
Molecule: ribosomal RNA, 680 nt
Filed under: Salmonella enterica subsp. enterica serovar Anatum
Lineage: Bacteria; Pseudomonadati; Pseudomonadota; Gammaproteobacteria; Enterobacterales; Enterobacteriaceae
Also listed under: 1 other name
Description: bacterial SSU rRNA
Rfam family: Bacterial small subunit ribosomal RNA
Source: RNAcentral